UCAUUUUUUAUUUCAUUUUCUUUUAGAUCUGGUUUAGCAGUAAUUCCAAGUCAGAAGAAAUCACACGAGAGAGAGCUGGUUAAAGAGGUGAGUAUUUAUGACGUCCUGUGGGAGACCAGUGAGAGAGUAGCAGAUGAGAUCCUCUACUCAGCCUUCCUCAGAGGGAUGUAUUCCAGACGUCUGCCUGCCCGCUGCUAUGCUGACUUCUGCCACCAGGAGGUGCUAUACCUGGACAGAGUCAUCCCCAUGCUGCGGGUAAAAAGAAAAUACAUGAAAUUAAACCAAUACCACAAAGAUUUACUUACCAUGACUGUGAUACGUGGUUGUCGUCCCUAGUUAUCUUAAGAUAAGUUGCUCUGUAUAACAGUGUAAAUGUGUGUAUGAGCCAGGUGCUGAUCAGAACAGUCCAGGGUCCUCCAGACAUCAUGAUGUUUCUCCAGAGAACACAUCAACGCUACCAGGAGUCUCUGAAGGAGGCCCAGAACCAAACUCCACCACACCUGAACCUGUCCUCAAUCCAGCCCUCUGCAGCUGUGCGUCAGUACCUCCAGAGCUUCCAUGACAUUGUGAAUGAGGAGCCCAUCUACUGGCUGGUGUCUCUGCUGCCCAGAGCCCUGCUCAGACCUUACCUGGCACAGAACCUGCCCCUGGGAGAGAGGACCAGACCAGGCCCCAGCCCCUGCCUCUACCCCUGGCUAAGCCUCUUCCCCUGCCCCUGCUACCAGUGGGGGGGUGAGGACAUGAAGCCAGACCAGAGGAACCAGAAGGACAAGACAGGGACAUAUUACAGGCAUCUACUGGAGAAGUACCAGGAUGUGAUAGACGUCUACAAGGCUGUCAACAUCUUCAGAGUCCAGAUGAUCAACGAGAAGGCUCUCUUCACCUCCAGCUGGUUUCCCACUGGUGACGAGGAGGAAGAGGAGGACCAACCCAUCCUGUUGUCUGUGGAGUCUGGUCCUGACGUUAGGGUGAGUGAUGUAUUUAUUUAUGACAUGUUUAUCUUGUUUUGAAAUCAGUCGGGGAUUGUGAACAGUUUUUAUAUUUUAUUUCACCUUUAUUUAACCAGGUAGGCCAGUUGAGAACACCUUUAUUUAACCAGGUAGGCAAGUUGAGAACACCUUUAUUUAACCAGGUAGGCCAGUUGAGAACACCUUUAUUUAACCAGGUAGGCCAGUUGAGAACACCUUUAUUUAACCAGGUAGGCCAGUUGAGAACAUGUUCUCAUUUACAACUGCGACCUGGCCAAGAUAAAGCAAAGCAGUGCGACACAAACAACAACACAGAGUUACACAUGGAGUAAACAAGCAUACAGUCAAUAAUACAGUACAAAAAGUAUAUUUACAGUGAGUGCAAAUGAGGUGAGACAAGGGC
Molecule: long non-coding RNA, 1371 nt
Filed under: Oncorhynchus mykiss (rainbow trout)
Lineage: Eukaryota; Metazoa; Chordata; Actinopteri; Salmoniformes; Salmonidae
Description: lncRNA (ENSOMYG00000059826.1)
Source: RNAcentral